RNAcentral lists this microRNA precursor (133 nucleotides) under Mus musculus (house mouse). Its description in RNAcentral is "mir-3473 microRNA precursor family". It matches the Rfam family "mir-3473 microRNA precursor family". The record is from Rfam by way of RNAcentral. RNAcentral also lists the same sequence under 1 other name. Lineage: Eukaryota; Metazoa; Chordata; Mammalia; Rodentia; Muridae.
ACCACUGAGCCAUCUCACCAGCCCAGGAGUUAUUUCUUAUAUAUUUAAAAAAGCUUAAGCCUGGGGGCUAAAGUGAUUGAUGGCUCAGUGGUUAAGAGUACUGGUUGGGGGGCUGGAGAGAUGGCUCAGUGGU